RNAcentral lists this unclassified non-coding RNA (239 nucleotides) under uncultured fungus. Its description in RNAcentral is "partial contains 5.8S ribosomal RNA, internal transcribed spacer 2, and large subunit ribosomal RNA". The stretch from base 1 to 52 matches the Rfam family "5.8S ribosomal RNA", at positions 103 to 154 of the family's 154-position model. The record is from RNAcentral. Lineage: Eukaryota; Fungi.
AACGCACAUUGCGCCCCGUGGUAUUCCGCGGGGCAUGCCUGUUCGAGCGUCAGUACAACACUCAAGCUCUGCUUGGUAUUGGAUCACACCGGCAACGGUCGAUCUUAAAAUCAGUGGCGGUGCCCUCUGGCUCUAAGCGUAGUAAUUUCUCUCGCUACAGUGCCCAGGUGGUGUCCUGCCAGCAACCCCCAAUUUUCUAGUUUGACCUCGGAUCAGGUAGGGAUACCCGCUGAACUUAA